This 530-nucleotide ribosomal RNA is filed under the name Neopestalotiopsis clavispora. Its description in RNAcentral is "eukaryotic LSU rRNA". The stretch from base 153 to 306 matches the Rfam family "5.8S ribosomal RNA". The record is from RNAcentral. Lineage: Eukaryota; Fungi; Ascomycota; Sordariomycetes; Amphisphaeriales; Sporocadaceae.
UGGAAUUGGUGGGCAGGGGGCAGUAUGAGCUAGCUGGCGCUGAUUUUUGUUGCCAGCGAGCAGAAGUUAUAGGUCUUCUUAUAGCUGCUGCCGGUGGACCAUUAAACUCUUGUUAUUUUAUGUAAUCUGAGCGUCUUAUUUUAAUAAGUCAAAACUUUCAACAACGGAUCUCUUGGUUCUGGCAUCGAUGAAGAACGCAGCGAAAUGCGAUAAGUAAUGUGAAUUGCAGAAUUCAGUGAAUCAUCGAAUCUUUGAACGCACAUUGCGCCCAUUAGUAUUCUAGUGGGCAUGCCUGUUCGAGCGUCAUUUCAACCCUUAAGCCUAGCUUAGUGUUGGGAAUCUACUUCUUUUAUUAGUUGUAGUUCCUGAAAUACAACGGCGGAUUUGUAGUAUCCUCUGAGCGUAGUAAUUUUUUUUCUCGCUUUUGUUAGGUGCUAUAACUCCCAGCCGCUAAACCCCCAAUUUUUUGUGGUUGACCUCGGAUCAGGUAGGAAUACCCGCUGAACUUAAGCAUAUCAAUAAGCGGAGGA